GACGAACGCUGGCGGCGUGCCUAAUACAUGCCAGUCGAGCGGACUGAUUAAGAGCUUGCUCUUAUGACGUUAGCGGCGGACGGGUGAGUAACACGUGGGCAACCUGCCCUGUAGAUCGGGAUAACACCGAGAAAUCGGUGCUAAUACCGGGUAAUAUCUGAGAUCACAUGAUCUUAGGUUAAAAGAUGGCUCCGGCUAUCACUACAGGAUGGGCCCGCGGCGCAUUAGCUAGUUGGUAAGGUAAUGGCUUACCAAGGCGACGAUGCGUAGCCGACCUGAGAGGGUGAUCGGCCACACUGGGACUGGGAAACGGCCCAGACUCCUACGGGAGGCAGCAGUAGGGAAUCUUCCGCAAUGGACGAAAGUCUGACGGAGCAACGCCGCGUGAGUGAUGAAGGGUUUCGGCUCGUAAAGCUCUGUUGUUAGGGAAGAAACAGUACCGAACGAACUAGGUCGGUACCUUGACGGUACCUAACCAGAAAGCCACGGCUAACUACGUG
Molecule: ribosomal RNA, 500 nt
Filed under: uncultured bacterium
Lineage: Bacteria
Description: partial 16S ribosomal RNA
Rfam family: Bacterial small subunit ribosomal RNA
Source: RNAcentral